UACGUAGGGGGCAAGCGUUGUCCGGAAUCAUUGGGCGUAAAGCGCGUGUAGGCGGUUCGGUGAGUCUGCUGUGAAAGUCCAGGGCUCAACCCUGGGAUGCCGGUGGAUACUGUCGGGCUAGAGUACGGAAGAGGCGAGUGGAAUUCCCGGUGUAGCGGUGAAAUGCGCAGAUAUCAGGAGGAACACCGAUGGCGAAGGCAGGUCUCUGGGCCACUACUGACGCUGAGAAGCGAAAGCAUGGGGAGCGAACAGG
RNAcentral lists this ribosomal RNA (253 nucleotides) under uncultured bacterium. RNAcentral's name for it is "partial 16S ribosomal RNA". It matches the Rfam family "Bacterial small subunit ribosomal RNA", at positions 524 to 776 of the family's 1533-position model. The record is from RNAcentral.